Long non-coding RNA from Chinchilla lanigera (long-tailed chinchilla), 1917 nucleotides. RefSeq lists it as uncharacterized. Lineage: Eukaryota; Metazoa; Chordata; Mammalia; Rodentia; Chinchillidae. The record is from RefSeq and is a predicted model, not a curated record. The transcript is spliced from 3 exons.
CCCGGCCCUGCCCGGAGCGCUGCGCGUGCGCCUGCUGGUCCUCGGCGGGCCCUUGGGCAGGAGCGAGCGGCAGUAAAGCGACCUGGUGAGGCCCGGCGGAGCACUAACGCUCCCCAGCUGCGGAAGGGCUAAAGCGGCUGUUCACUUCAAACUCGCAGAAUUCAGCAGUGAAUCUAUCAGGACAUGGGCUUUUCUUUGGUGGCUGGAAAUGGGUCAUGAACCUUCAAGGUGCAGCCUGACCUUGCCCAGUCCGAGCACUGCCUCUGUGUCUGUCUUCUCUGGAACUUCAUGCAGCAGCCUAACUGGGGCCACUUUGCCUUUACUCUCUUUUCUGUGAUGAACACUUGUGGAGAAACUGACAGAUCCACUGAUCCUACUAUUUUUAUUUUUGGAGUCCUGUGGAUUCUCUAUGAAUACUUUCUAUUUGCUCAUACUGUGUAGUGUUAAUAUCCACUAGGGAUAUGUUAAUAAAACUAUAAAUGCAUAGUGUAAUAUAGAAUAGCAAAAAAAUUUGUGAACAAUUUAUAUAGAAAAGCUAAGUUGUUUUUUAAGUGUUAGGCAUAUUUCUUUUAAGGACUUAAAAUGUUAUAAAAGCCUUUUAAACAGUCAAUAUUUUUAAUUAUGAGACAUUUGUUACUGGAACCAGUUAUUUCAGGUGUUCUAAUGGGAGUAUUGAUUUUAUUACCUCAUAUACCUCCAGAAUGCCACACGUUCUUCUGGGGACAAAAACUGCACAAUGAAUGUCAAGUCUCUGUUUCAGCGUUUUUCUAAGUAAGAAUGCGCGGUGAGCGCGUCUUGAGGAGGGCAGGCGCCUGUUUCUGGUGUUUCCUCACCCUGAGGCUCCUGCUCAGGCUCCCUCCCUGCGGAAUCUGUUUUGUCACACCCAGCUCUCCAGCAGACUUCCUGCUGUGUAAGUGUCAUAGCCGCCCGGCCAAGGAACAGCAUUUAGAGACUCUUGUUUUAUGGAAUGUGACCGAACCGUACGGUGAACGUUCAAAUAAAAAGAGUUUAAGCUUUAUUACCGUAAAAGGCAUGCUGCAUUAACCCCCUCAGAACACUCCCCUUGCGCUUAACACACACAUCCCCUCAACUCACCUCUUGCCACUUCUGAAGCAGUUCUGGAAGUCCUCGUUUGUGUCUUCUCGGCUGCCUCAGUGUCCUGCGUUACUCCAAACAUCUGUGGCAAUUUCGGUAGAAGUCGUUACAGUGUGCCCUGGUCCGUCUUAUCCAUCAGAUUGGGCACCAGGUGACACGGCUUCGCCCCAGAGUCAAAAUGGCCAUGGAAGGUAAAUGCUGUGACUCGGUUGCGGACACCAGGGCAUCCACAGGAGUGCAACUGAAGACACUCACGGAAGAGGACCUCCAGAACUGCUUCAGGAGGAGGCAAGGGUGAACAGGAGGAGCGCCAGGUGAGGAGAAUUUCGAGGCGGGUUCAUGGCCAGUACCUUUUACUACAGGAAGUUAUAAAGACUUAAACAUUAACUGUAUUAUCUGACCACACCUCCUAGUCUCAGCCUGAGAUUUCUCCCAGACCACCAAAGUAAAGCAGCAGGUUGUGCCCUGGAUGCACACACAAGCAGCAGGUUUCGGCUGUGGCUCUGUUUUGGUUUGACCUCGGCAAGGUCAACAACCACAAUAGCAUACGAAAGAGUCUUCCCAGAAACUUUCUUCACGGUGAAGUUUUCAUUCAGAAUGAGCCUGUUUAUUUAACUUUUCAGCCUCUUCUCAUUUAAUGGCUAUGUGAGCACGUCUAACCCGACCCACCCACGUCUGCCCCUUAGCAUUUUCGUGAGUGCCGUGGGCUGCUGCGUGGCCACUUGCUGCGUCAUCGUGGUCAUCAGCAUUGCCUUCUUAAGCCUCUCUGGGGUCAGAAAUACUUGCUCUUGACUUUGUCAAAAUAAACUAUGUCAAAUAUUU